RNAcentral lists this ribosomal RNA (319 nucleotides) under uncultured bacterium. RNAcentral describes it as "partial 16S ribosomal RNA". It matches the Rfam family "Bacterial small subunit ribosomal RNA", at positions 355 to 689 of the family's 1533-position model. The record is from RNAcentral.
UGGGGAAUAUUGGACAAUGGGGGGCAACCCUGAUCCAGCAAUGCCGCGUGUGUGAAGAAGGUCUUCGGAUUGUAAAGCACUUUCGACGGGGACGAUGAUGACGGUACCCGUAGAAGAAGCCCCGGCUAACUUCGUGCCAGCAGCCGCGGUAAUACGAAGGGGGCUAGCGUUGCUCGGAAUGACUGGGCGUAAAGGGCGUGUAGGCGGUUUACACAGUCAGAUGUGAAAUCCCCGGGCUUAACCUGGGAGCUGCAUUUGAUACGUGUAGACUAGAGUGUGAGAGAGGGUUUGUGGAAUUCCCAGUGUAGAGGUGAAAUUC